AGUGUUCCGUGUUCAGUGUUCAGUGUGUUCCGUGUGUCCCGUGUUCCGUGUUCCGUGUUCAGUGUCCAGUGUUCAGUGUUCAGUGUUCCGUGUUUAGUGUUCCGUGUUCUGUGUUCAUUGUUCACAGUGUCCAGUGUUCAGUGUUCAGGAUUUUACUGAAGGUUUCGUGGCUCGACAGUCUGGCUUCACUCAGGCGGCUUUCAUGUUCAAACAGGAGACGCCAUGAGAGUGAGAUGUUCAGGUGUGUUAAACACGCUACCAUGACAGAGAUGUUCAGGUGUGUUAAACACGCUACCAUGACAGAGAUGUUCAGGUGUGUUUGACACGCCAACAUAAGCCACCGUGAGAGAGAUGUUCAGGUGUGUUUCAUAAGCCACCAUGACAGAGAUGUUCAGGUGUGGUAAACACGCCACCGUGAGAGAGAUGUUCAGGUGUGUUUCAUAAGCCACCAUGACAGAGAUGUUCAGGUGUGGUAAACACGCCACCGUGAGAGAGAUGUUCAGGUGUGUUCGACACAAACAUAAGCCAACAUGAGAGAGGUGUUCAGGUGUGUUUCAUAAGCCACUGUGAGAGAGAUGUUCAGGUGUGGUAAACACGCUUACAUGAGAGUGAUAUUCAGGUGUGUUUCAUAAGCCACCAUGAGAGAGGUGUUCAGGUGUGUUAAACACGCCACCAUGAGAGAGGUGUUCAGGUGUGUUUCAUAAGCCACCGUGAGAGAGGUGUUCAGGUGUGUUUCAUAAGCCACCAUGACAGAGGUGUUCAGGUGUGUUAAACACGCUACCAUGAGAGAGAUGUUCAGGUGCCUUUGGUACACAAACGAAAGACGCUGUGAGAACCAUACUGCUCCAGUCCCAGCGGAUGUGGCCUAAAUGAUGUUUUUAUGGUUUCGGCUGAUUUUAGCACAGCCUGACCUCAUGUGUUUGUGUCUAAUAUGGCCGUCGUUUGCACAGCGUUAGCCCAGAAUUAGCCUUCCUCUUUAAAUGCCAUGGUAGUUUCCAAAUCUCUUUUAUAAACACUUCUGUUGUAUGUUUACGUCAGUUGUCACGUCAGAUGGCAGUUGCUAUGUCAGAAUCA
Molecule: long non-coding RNA, 1074 nt
Organism: Clupea harengus (Atlantic herring)
Lineage: Eukaryota; Metazoa; Chordata; Actinopteri; Clupeiformes; Clupeidae
Source: Ensembl